CGAACGCUGGCGGCGUGCCUAAUACAUGCAAAUUGAGCAAUGAAGAUUGGUGCUUGCCCCAAUUUGAAGAGCAGCGAACGGGUGAGUAACGCGUGGGGAAUCUGCCUUUGAGCGGGGGACAACAUUUGGAAACGAAUGCUAAUACCGCAUAACAACUUUAAACAUAAGUUUUAAGUUUGAAAGAUGCAAUUGCAUCACUCAAAGAUGAUCCCGCGUUGUAUUAGCUAGUUGGUGAGGUAAAGGCUCACCAAGGCGAUGAUACAUAGCCGACCUGAGAGGGUGAUCGGCCACAUUGGGACUGAGACACGGCCCAAACUCCUACGGGAGGCAGCAGUAGGGAAUCUUCGGCAAUGGACGAAAGUCUGACCGAGCAACGCCGCGUGAGUGAAGAAGGUUUUCGGAUCGUAAAACUCUGUUGGUAGAGAAGAACGUUGGUGAGAGUGGAAAGCUCAUCAAGUGACGGUAACUACCCAGAAAGGGACGGCUAACUACGUG
Molecule: ribosomal RNA, 495 nt
Filed under: uncultured bacterium
Lineage: Bacteria
Description: partial 16S ribosomal RNA
Rfam family: Bacterial small subunit ribosomal RNA
Source: RNAcentral